This 26-nucleotide non-coding RNA is filed under the name Homo sapiens (human). Lineage: Eukaryota; Metazoa; Chordata; Mammalia; Primates; Hominidae. The record is from RNAcentral.
CUAAUGCUAAAUGAUGAGUUAGUGGG